AUUAAACGCUGGCGGCAUGCCUUACACAUGCAAGUCGAACGGUAGCGCGGGGCAACCUGGCGACGAGUGGCGAACGGGUGAGUAAAGCAUCGGAACGUGCCCUGGAAUGGGGGAUAACGUAGCGAAAGUUACGCUAGUACCGCAUAUUCUGUGAGCAGGAAAGCAGGGGAUCGCAAGACCUUGCGUUCUGGGAGCGGCCGAUGUCGGAUUAGCUAGUUGGUGGGGUAAAAGCCUACCAAGGCGACGAUCCGUAGCGGGUCUGAGAGGAUGAUCCGCCACACUGGGACUGAGACACGGCCCAGACUCCUACGGGAGGCAGCAGUGGGGAAUUUUGGACAAUGGGCGGAAGCCUGAUCCAGCCAUGCCGCGUGAGUGAAGAAGGCCU
This 385-nucleotide ribosomal RNA is filed under the name uncultured bacterium. RNAcentral's name for it is "bacterial SSU rRNA". It matches the Rfam family "Bacterial small subunit ribosomal RNA", at positions 29 to 417 of the family's 1533-position model. The record is from RNAcentral.